RNAcentral lists this long non-coding RNA (342 nucleotides) under Panax ginseng (ginseng). RNAcentral's name for it is "long non-coding RNA (PGIN_LNC009395)". Lineage: Eukaryota; Viridiplantae; Streptophyta; Magnoliopsida; Apiales; Araliaceae. The record is from RNAcentral.
AAUCUUCGCAGCGGAAAUAAUAAUUCAUUAGAAGAGUUAAGUAGAGAAUGCAAACUACUAUCUUCUAUAUAUGAAUUUAAAAGUUCAUCAUCGAUAUUUUAUCCCUGUAACAUCAAUCAAUAUAUAUCUGGAAUCAAAUAUUCAUCUUUGCACUACAGGCCAAAGAUAUUCAUCAGUUGGUCAUGUUCAUCUAAACACAUGUUCAUCUUUGCACUACGGGCCAAAGAUAUUAAUCAGUCGGUCAUGUUCAUCUCAAUACCUGUUCAUCUUUGCACUACGGGCCAAAGAUAUUCAUCAAGAAAUCAUUCAUAUUUGCACUACAGGCCAAAGAUAUUCAGUAAU